AUUGAACGCUGGCGGCAGGCCUAACACAUGCAAGUCGAACGGUAACAGGAAGCAGCUUGCUGCUUUGCUGACGAGUGGCGGACGGGUGAGUAAUGUCUGGGAAACUGCCUGAUGGAGGGGGAUAACUACUGGAAACGGUAGCUAAUACCGCAUAACGUCGCAAGACCAAAGAGGGGGACCUUCGGGCCUCUUGCCAUCGGAUGUGCCCAGAUGGGAUUAGCUAGUAGGUGGGGUAACGGCUCACCUAGGCGACGAUCCCUAGCUGGUCUGAGAGGAUGACCAGACACACUGGAACUGAGACACGGCCCAGACUCCUACGGGAGGCAGCAGUGGGGAAUAUUGCACAAUGGGCGAAAGCCUGAUGCAGCAAUGCCGCGUGUAUGAAGAAGGCCUUCGGGUUGUAAAGUAAUUUAAGCGGGGAGGAAGGGAGUAAAGUUAAUACCUUUGCUCAUUGACGUUACCCGCAGAAGAAGCACCGGCUAACUCCGUG
Molecule: ribosomal RNA, 490 nt
Filed under: uncultured bacterium
Lineage: Bacteria
Description: partial 16S ribosomal RNA
Rfam family: Bacterial small subunit ribosomal RNA
Source: RNAcentral